GUCUUAAAUGACUCUCGGCAACGGAUAUCUCGGCUCUUGCAUCGAUGAAGAACGUAGCGAAAUGCGAUACUUGGUGUGAAUUGCAGAAUCCCGURAACCAUCGAGUCUUUGAACGCAAGUUGCGCCUGAAGCCAUUAGGCUGAGGGCACGCCUGCCUGGGUGUCACAC
This 168-nucleotide ribosomal RNA is filed under the name Gompholobium villosum. RNAcentral's name for it is "5.8S ribosomal RNA". It matches the Rfam family "5.8S ribosomal RNA". Rfam says of the family: 5.8S ribosomal RNA (5.8S rRNA) is a component of the large subunit of the eukaryotic ribosome. It is transcribed by RNA polymerase I as part of the 45S precursor that also contains 18S and 28S rRNA. Functionally, it is thought that 5.8S rRNA may be involved in ribosome translocation. Lineage: Eukaryota; Viridiplantae; Streptophyta; Magnoliopsida; Fabales; Fabaceae. The record is from RNAcentral.